CUUCCUUCAUCCUUAAAUCUCAGACAGAAGGAUGUCUUUUCUGGCCAAACUGCAGGAUCAGGUAACAAACAGCCCCUGAUAAGCUUUAACUGCAGAUGGCACCGAGGCAAUAUCCUUUCUUGGGAAAAAGAAAGAAGAAAGAAGACCUUAAAGAAAAUGUUUCCUUGGAGUCCAGCAUGAGUUUUGCUCAGAACAGUCUUCUGGAGCAGGUAACUCAGGCAGAGGUCAAACAGGGUUUGGUGGUGCCACUGAUGAGUUUCUGCUUCAGACUGGGACUUCAUAUGAGCUGUUAGGGAUGGAUUUUACUCCAGAUUCCCAGCAUUUCAUACUUCUCUUACAUAUUUAAAGCCCAUCCCAGAGUUUUGCAGCUUCAAGAUAUUUUCAAAUUGCCAUUUAUACCUGAUGCCCUACUGCAUUCCUUUAUUAUACUGCAAGGCAAAGCCUUUGGCAGCAUCAGUGAGUCCCUGUUGAAGAGAAGCCAGAAGAGGCUGCAGUGAAAGCUUUGUCCAUACAUAGCAGAGGAAGUCCCCAGGCUAUUUGCUUGCCCUGAGACGCUAGUUAAUCAGUUGGUGUGGUGUAGGGGCCAGCUGUGUAUUGGCCCUCUACUGAUGCUGUAACAACCUUGCCACUGUUAUAAUAUGUUAGACAUAAUUAAUUUUCCCUGGUUGCCAACACCUGGUUUUGCUUAGAUCAAGGACUAAAUGAGUAGUUGACAGUAGUUAAUGAGCUUCUGCAGCAAGCAAUUCAAUUUUUUCACUGACUAAAAUGACUUACUUCUUCUGGGCACCACGCUCCCCCUCCCUGGGAUAUUUGGUACCAUCAGAUCUCCAUUGGGUCAGGCAGGAUCCAUCUCCAUCAGUAAGAGCCUGCAGCAGUGGGUGCUGUCCAGAACUGCCCUCCUCCACUAAGCAGGGGAGCUGUGUUUUUGUCCACAUCUUUCCACACAGGUCUGCAGACCCGUUCAGCUCUUUUACUGGUGACAUGCCCAGCCAGCCAACCCAAGCAGUCCAUCCUCUGCAGCCGUGGUAUCACCUUCCUUGCAGUGAUGGGCUUUGUAAUGGGGCUUUUGGUGUGUCCUGCUCUGGCAGGACUACUAUGGUAGGUCUUCUUCAGUUGUCCAAUAGAAUCAUGCAACAGUUUGGAAUGGAAGGGACUUAAAGAUCAUCCAGUUCCAAUCCCGUUGACAUAGGCAGAGACUCCUUCCACUAGACUAGGUUGUUCAGAGCCCCAUCCGACCUGGCCUUGAACACUUUCAGGGAUGUUCAGGGAUGAAAUUUUCAACAAUAAAGAUUUUGGUAUGGAUUGCUCAUGGGGAAGAGGAUCUGCUCUGUGCCCAGAUAUUUAGGAACUGUAUCACCAUUUUUCUGCUUUCCCACAGGUGCUUUAGGUGUCAUUGCCUUGCAUUGUGCCAGCUAUAAAGUGCUCUAUAGUGAAAUGAAUAACUUGCUUAUGCUAGACACCUAAAUUCUUCUGAAAAUCAUAGUGAAGUGACUUCCUUAAGAUGGAUUUGGCACUUGGAGGUAUCUGUACAGCAGAAGGGCUGCUCACCUACCUUGUAGCUUUGGUCCCAAAUAAUUUUCCAAACUGGGAGAUAAGUGUCUUUCAAACCACAGGUUGUGAAUGGACAACUGAGUCCAGAUACUUGGCUGUCUGUGUGAAGGAAGCAUUAAAAGGCAGUGGGACAAAUGAGAAAAUGUGACCAUUAGAGACAUACUCUAUGCUUGGCCAAGGCAAAAGUUUGCUGGCAAAGUUUGCCACCACUGUCUGAAUUGACCAUCACAGCAUGUCUAGCUUCCUACAAUUUUAAGUACUUUCUGUCUCCAAUCCACUUUACAAAGAUUCUUUUCUAAGUUUCUCUUGUUUAUGUGGAAUGUAGUCUGGGGAAUUGGGUCAGGUUGACCUAGAGAGAGGACGAAGAAGAAAGUACUUUAAUAAGAGAUCCUGCUCAAUGUCAAUUGUUUGGAUUCUCUCCCUCUUUUGAAUCUACUGGAGAAAUCUAAAGCAUCACCAUGCUUAGAUGAUUAACCAUCCCUGAGAUCACAUAUGUAAAACCCUGUGGACAGAGUGUUUUCCAUAUAGUCUCACUUGUGGCUCCCAGAGCCAUAUGGAGGCUCUGUGGUCCUCUGCAGACUGCAGAUAGUCCGUGUCAAAAGCAGUGUUCCCAUACUGUUAUUGCCUCUGCUGGGGACUGACAAUGUUCACAUGGCCUCCCUGGAGCCCACAAACCAUCUGCAAAUAUAUUCCUGGAAUGGCCAAACCCCAAGGUUCUUGAGCUGUUGGGAUCCCAUAGCACAAGUGAGUUUAUGCUCCAUUAAGCUGCUUAGAAGCAGCUAUAAUGUAAUUAUUACAGUCCUUUUCCCCAUGGCUGUGCAGCAAUGUCAUAAACAUGGAAUGAUUAUUUAAUUAUAAAAAAUAUUCUGGUAAUUAUUCAUCAAGAUGCUGAUGAUACUGAAUUCACAGCAGAACUGUGGUAAGAAGAAAGUGGCUGUACUUCACCAGAAUGAAUCUUCUUGGUGACAACUUCAACAUCAAUGGGAAGUAAAAAGGAAAUAAAAAGGGCAAGAAGGAAAAAGGUGUCUUAUUCUUAGUCAUUUUUUGAAACCAUCCUCCUAAUUCCAGACUUGUGUCAGUUUCAUGUGAUAGAUGUGAUAAUAUCUCAAGACAAAAUAAAAGCAUAUUUCUUUUUUACUAUUCUGCUCCAAGGAAAAAAGACAAAUUAUGCCUUGUGAAGAAGCAAUUUGCUAUAAAGUGUAAAAAUGCUUUAAUAUUAAUAUUUUAUAAUAAAAUUCAUGACAUAUUUAUAAACACUCUAUCAAGCAUUUACAACUGAACCACAGCUGAGAGCUUGGACUGGAAUAAAUAAGCAAGGACACAGCUAGUAUGAAAUAUACAGCUUAAUUUUUAUAAUUGUGUGUGCUUUAUUCUUUACACAAAUGGAAUGGAUGCGCAGAGUAUUUACACAUAACAGGAGUGUAAGCUGGACAGGGUGUUUUGUAAACUCCAGUUCAGAUUCUGAGUACCCCACACUACAGCUGGACUGAGAAACAUCCUGCUAAAGAGACGCACACCGGACAUUGUGCUGGAGGGAGCAGCUUGGUGCAUACAGGCUGCUGCACUCAGAAAUUCAAACUGGCCAAUUCAAAUUUAGGAGCACAAAUCCAGAAAUUAAAAGGCUAUCCCACUAAGAGCCAACAGUGUUGCCAUUUCCCCCCCCUUUUUUUUAAUGCUUUUUCCCCCCACACCAAAGAUCUUGCCUAGGAUGCUGGCUCCUGUGCCCAGAAAUGCUGUUUUACAUCAGGGCAAGUUGCUUGUGCUGUAGGGCCAGAAGGUGUAAGCUGCUAGUGUGGUGUGAGAGAUGAUGAAUUGCCUCUCGUGCUUUUCACCUUAAAGGCAAGGUGUCAAAAAGGGCCAAUGAAGUGGUAGUUCCUAUAGCUCUUGGUGAGAUAUCAGUGCAGCUGAAGCCUCCUGCAAAUCCAUUUGGCCCUUGGAAUCUUUUUGUUAGCAAUUUCACAGCAAUGGCCUCAAAAGGAUCUUGGUCCAUUACUUGGCCCUCUGCGUGUUACAGUAAAAUAAGCAGUAAAUAAUGAUGGAAAGUGCUGAGCCGCUGUUUGAUCAGGUGGCCUUGGUGUUUUACAGAGAUGCAAAAAAAUCAGUGUGAUGAGGAGGAUGAAUGUUUAACUUCAGGUGGUAUAAAUGGGAUGGACUCCAUUGAAAUCAGAGGAGUGACUGUGAUUUCCACCAGCUGAGAAUCUAGGCUAGCAAUAUGCUGGAUAGAUUUUGGAUGUUAUCUGUUGUUAGCUUUGACGCUGAUUUGUGUCCUAGAAUGGAAAUUUUCUUUUUUUUUAGCAUAAUAAGCUCAUCCUUAUUCCUGAACCAAUUGACAAAAUGUCUGAUUUUUAAUGGGAAAGAAAAAAGUUUAUUCCACCAAGGAAGGGGCUUGCGCACUUGAAUGCAGUUGCACAGUGAACCACAUGCAUAACAUGACAGGCAGAAUGUUCAAGAGGGAAAAUAUUGAGAUUAAAAGCUGUGAAGGAUAAAAAGACCACUUUCUGUGAACACGGCAGAUAUUAUGGCUUUAAAUCUGCAUCUGAAAAAGGAGGUUGAUACUUCUUCCUCAACACAGUUUUUUCCUAUAAAUAUCCUCAUGUGUUUUCACUCACUGAAUCCUCUGGUCAGGGAUACAAUUUGAAAAACAAAAACUAAAAUAUAAGAAAACAAAAACAAAAAUACAAUUUGACUGGGUGCUGAUAAGCGAGUAACAGUGAAGGUGUAAUGCCAACAAUUUCUCCAUAGAAAACUAAUAUAAAUAGGUAGGUGGAUGCUGUAUACCUAGGACACUGUUGCUGGCUCGUAGUGGUUAUUAGCUCGGGUACCACACUGCUCUCCAGGAAGAGGAUUUGUAAUUUCAGUGCAAUGGAGAGAUUUCUUAUCCUUGACUUUCACCAAGUGGUUCUUAGGACCCUAUCCACACCGGAGCAUCAAACCAUGCUAGCUACAAACACAAUUACAUCACAGAAUAUUGAUCUAGAAACAGCCUUUACUAUCAAAGAAAUUACAAAGCGCUAGCAUGGACAGGGUACCUCUGUAGGAAGGGGGAUUAAGCAAGAAAGAGGCUCUUCCACUGGUUGAUGGUCAGACUGUAAGACCAGUGAAGAAGUGCCAUUCCACUGAGCCCUGUUAGCAAGCUCUCAAGGAGUCAGUGCAUGGAAGAUUUUUUUAUUUUUUGUUUGUGGCAAGGAAAAAUAAUUAAGUUGUAAUAUUGCACAUCUGCACAAAGCUAGCGAGAUGUCAUUGUGAUCAUUCAUGGGUGGACAAAAAGCUGUGAUAUUUUGAUUCUGCUUAGACCCUAUGGUGCUACACACUGUGCCAGAACAUGAGAUAUAGCACCAGGGGUGUGAUCUGGCACUUUUCCUAAAGGGUCCAGCAUUUGCAUUUGUCUCAUGGUUAGACACUCCCAAGUCUUUAACAUGGACAGAAAAGGAAUCUGAUUAUGCUAAGCUGUGUUAGCACCAAUAUGGAGUCAGGCGCCAAUUGCUGUGGGCUGUGAGUUUGGACUUCUUUUUCACCAGAUGUAAUUUUGCAUGAGUCUUAUGCUUUUCUUCCUCCUCCCACUACCACCCAGUAUGAUCUGAACAGCUGCAAUGCAAAAAUGGACUGCAGCUCUUAGGAUGCUGCAACAUGGAACGCAAAACAUCAACACACAAAACAAAUGGGAGUACAAGUCCUAAGGGAAAUAAGACCUCUUACUGAUUCUCUUGACGAUUUGUUUUUAAAUAUAUGUUUUAUUUAAAAAAAAAAAAAAGAAGUGCAAUGUCAACUCUAAAAUGGAAGCACAAACAACAGACAGGGAAAAAUAAAUAAUGUUACUACAGUAACCAAGGACUGAUGGAAAAAUUGAUUGUACUCAGCCGUAGUGUUACUGUUCACUGUAAAGCACAGCACAUGACAAAGCAAAACAGUUACUAGUAGGAUAGUACCAUAAAAGGCUGCAUGCUGAACUAAGAAACAAAGAAGCAGAUGUGAUUGAUUGCUUAAAAACAGAGCUGAAAAUUAGAAUGAAGUUCCUGCUUUAGGAUACUUGGUUUUUCAGGUCUGGUGGGCUAUUUCCCAACCUGGGGCAAUAGUAUUUUGCUAGCAUGGAAAAAUCCAUGGCUUCCAAAGAUCUGGGGUCACUCUGUGGACUUCUGCAAAAUUAUCCAAAAUCAAAGCACUCAUUAAUUAAUAUUAAAAAAAAAAAGUUAAUAGCCCUUCUGGUUACAAAGCUCUUCUGGAGACUUAACUGAAACCCUUGUUUAUAAAGCUGCGCUGACCAGGCAGGAAAAGUAGUUAAAGAAGUGUGAACUUCUCAGAGUUACCAUAGUUGGGCAGUAAGCAUGAGAGGCCCGCUCAAGAGCCCAUAAAAUGCCCGUGUUUUUAACCCUGUCACUGCUGGUGGCUUUUGCAAACAUCCAGCUCGUCGCGCUGUCUGCGGAAGGUGGCUGGGUAGCCCUGUCAGCUGGACAGGGUGCAGAAGUGUAAGCUCCAAACAGACAAGUGCCAGAGGAGUCUAUUCAGCAUUUGCCUUUAAGACGUCCAUAAGCAUUAGGGCUGCUGUAGCCACCAGCUAUAAGCAUCGCACUCCUGCAGUGCAGCAGAGGCAGGAGUGUGGGUUUCAUAGAGAACAUGGUCCAGCAGCAGCAAAGGCAAUUCAGUUUUACUGUCAUAGCAUCUGUUGCAGUUGUCUCCUUGUAAGUCAGUGAGGAAUGGCAUCACUAUACAGAAGAAGGGCAAUGUGAAAUGAGAAAAAAAAUAUCUCCUCCCCUUCCGUACACCCCAGACUGCAAUUCCACAGACUUUUCCCCAAAUCCCUCACAAAUGUCUAUUGCCUCAGUUUUUGCUUUUAAGACCCUUGUUGACUGUGAAAUGAAUGAAGAUACAAGUUAGUUGGUGACCUGCCUGCAAAGAGAGGAAAGAUCAAAUGCUUUUGUUAUUUCCCUGAGGGAAACAGGAAGAGUCAUAAAACAUUUGGGGAUUAAGGGUGCCUCCUUCCUAAGAGAGAAAUUAUUAGCUGCAUUUAAGCACUGACAUUUUGCUACUGAAUAGUUGUCCCUCUCAAAGAUGCAUUAUCCUUUUGUGUUCAGAAAAUUCCUACAGGGCAGUGAGUUCAAGAGAUCUUUCCACAGGAGUUCAUCAUGAUUAAACAGUGGCAAGGGAGAGGAUUAAAUUGAAAGAAAAAAAGAUGACAACUACUAUUUAAGGGAUUUUCUUGCUUGUCAUUAAUAAUAGGGAAUCUGUUAUGGAAGAGGUAUAAUGCAACUUGAUGGUCCUCUUUACAUUUGACAGUCGCACAAGGGUGUAAAUAUUUAAUCUUUCAAUUAAUUAAUCUUUACAAAAUAUCUUCACAAAAACAUUUUACCUAUAGAAAUUAGUUUCUAUACAUCAAUAUAAUUUUUUAUAAAUUAUUCCAUCUUUAAGUGCCUUCUAUCAAUAUAAAUGAUAAAAUAGACAAUCAAAAAUUUUAAAGCUUUUCCCAGUUGUAUCCCUCCUUGUUAACAUAGGUGCUGUGAAUCCUCAUACAUGUGUCUGUCUGCAUGGGAAUGUGUUUGUGUGCACACGUGUAUGGUGCGAAAUGCUUCCAUCCUCUCCCACCCCUAAACACCAUUAAAAUAAACCAUAUUGUUGGUAGUUCUUGAUGCAAUAGUGCUUCCAAAGGGGGAAAAAAAAA
Motacilla alba alba is the source of this 7204-nucleotide long non-coding RNA. RefSeq lists it as uncharacterized. NCBI's taxonomy places the organism in Eukaryota, Metazoa, Chordata, Aves, Passeriformes, Motacillidae. The transcript is spliced from 2 exons. The record is from RefSeq and is a predicted model, not a curated record.